CAAGAGGGUGAUCUCAGCUUCAAGAAAGGCGAGAUUUUAACAGUUAUCAAAACGAGCGAGGAUGGCUGGUGGGAAGCUGAAAACGCAGCCGGGAAACAAGGCGUUGUACCGAAAACUCUUCUUAAGAUUAUCGAGGAAAGCGGCGAAGAAACCUCACCGGAGAAAACUGACGAAGAGGAUUCCACUGUAACGAAGAAAGAGACAGCAGACAAAGUUCCCGAGCUUCCACGGCAAAGAAGGUGAGCUCAGGACUUAAGUAACGAAACCAUGUCAAGAAACUCAGUUAUUAAAGCAUU
Long non-coding RNA from Orbicella faveolata, 296 nucleotides. NCBI's taxonomy places the organism in Eukaryota, Metazoa, Cnidaria, Anthozoa, Scleractinia, Merulinidae. The record is from RefSeq and is a predicted model, not a curated record.